RNAcentral lists this ribosomal RNA (253 nucleotides) under uncultured bacterium. RNAcentral's name for it is "partial 16S ribosomal RNA". It matches the Rfam family "Bacterial small subunit ribosomal RNA", at positions 524 to 776 of the family's 1533-position model. The record is from RNAcentral.
UACGGAGGGGGCUAGCGUUGUUCGGAAUUACUGGGCGUAAAGCGCGCGUAGGCGGCUUUGUAAGUCAGAGGUGAAAGCCUGGAGCUCAACUCCAGAACUGCCUUUGAGACUGCAUCGCUAGAAUCAUGGAGAGGUUAGUGGAAUUCCGAGUGUAGAGGUGAAAUUCGUAGAUAUUCGGAAGAACACCAGUGGCGAAGGCGGCCAACUGGCCCGAUACUGACGCUCAUGUGUGAAAGCGUGGGGAGCAAACAGG